Cajanus cajan (pigeon pea) is the source of this 170-nucleotide non-coding RNA. The record is from Rfam. Lineage: Eukaryota; Viridiplantae; Streptophyta; Magnoliopsida; Fabales; Fabaceae.
UUGCACUGUGUGUUUUGUACGAGGAAACCGUUGUGUUUUGUUUUCUCGUUGAAGUGUCAGUGCGCACAGAGAAAGCUCAAUUUGGGCAGCGGCCAGACAACCGUAGGGAUGGUUUUCCACAGAUUAUGACCUUUUCUUUCCUCAUUCUCUACUGAUUCCAUCCCACAUUU